CAAGAUUAGACAAGUUUUGAAGAGCCAUAAGUGGCUCAGAUUGGUCACCCCUGGGCUCACAUAGUUGAAUUUUAAAUUUAAUGACAGAAAAUCAGCAAAGAUUUGACACCAAAGAUAUAAAUAUAUCUAACGGCAGAUGAUGAAAAUAUUACAUUCCUCUUAAAGAUCAACCUAAAGCCACCGAAGUCACCCUUCCAGCUCUUGGUUUCAGGUUUUAUUUCAUUCCCUAUGUCACUCUCCAUGUGACAUGGGGCUGGACAAAGAUUGAAGUCCUAGAUGAGUAAGACCUUGAGUCAUUCACAGUCAAGAAAGGUUUAACCUGUGAUCCAAGGAAGAGGGACAAGAAGUGGAGACCAAGUGCAGCCUCAAAAGUUCAUGACGAGACUCCAAAAGCUUAGCAAGAAGGUAUUAUGGAGAUCUACAUCUUGGUUUCUUACUCUGAAAUUGGGACUACUUGGAGAGCAAGAAUGGAAAGGUUCGAAAGUACAGAAUUCUUCACUCUGGCUACAUCUAUGCUCAAGCCAUCUCCAGAAAGACAUACAGAUAUACAAUUUGACCCCUUGUUUCAUCAUUCUACAUGUUUACAGUUUGAAAAAUAAUGUUUACUUUUUGUGCUCAGGAAAAGAAAUUCAGACUUUCUAAAAAAACCCAAAACACUAUAGGGGUAAGGAAAAUGUUUAAAUUGUAACAUGAAAGUGAUAACUUAAACCAAGGCUAUGAUUUAUUUAAUAAAUAUUUCUUGAGCUUC
This 748-nucleotide long non-coding RNA is filed under the name Equus caballus (horse). Its description in RNAcentral is "lncRNA (ENSECAG00000052720.1)". The record is from RNAcentral. Lineage: Eukaryota; Metazoa; Chordata; Mammalia; Perissodactyla; Equidae.